Molecule: long non-coding RNA, 777 nt
Filed under: Olea europaea subsp. europaea
Lineage: Eukaryota; Viridiplantae; Streptophyta; Magnoliopsida; Lamiales; Oleaceae
Source: RNAcentral
GAAGGAAAAAUUCGAUUUUGAAUUGAACCAACCAAUCAAAGAUGCUAUUGACCGUUCAUGAAGAAGAAGUGGAAGGAUUGUCGUUGUAGAUUGCAUAAAAAUUUGAUAACAUGGGUGGCAAUGGAGAUAUUAGACUUGCAAAAAGAAACAAGCCUACAUCUAUAGUAGAGCAAAGUGAUUGGGAUUUCCUAUGUGAUUAUUUUGCCAGUGAUGAGAUGAAGGUAACUACUAUUCAAUGAUACUAUUUUUAGUACAUAUUCUUAAUGGAAUCUAUGCCGUACUUGGAACCCUUCUCAUGAGUGUGGAAAAAUAAUGAUAUUCAUAUAUUACUUGAGUUAAGUCUAGUUUUGUAGAUUGGUUUGGCUAUAUUGAUCAAUAGAAAAAAUUAAAAGAAAACAAGGUUGGAAAAUUGUGGUACUUGUGUAGAGAAGGCUGCUUUACAGAAUGAGGUUGAAAUCUUCGUUCACAAUUGAAAUAUGUGCAGAUAUUCUUAAUUCGCAUUCCUAAAGAGUUUCUUCAGCCUAUUCAAUCUUAUAUGUCUUCAUCCAAUGGUUUAAAUGGUGAUAAUUAAUAUGUUUUUUACUUUAGUUUUGGUGAUGUAGUAAUAGUUAUUUAUUUUUAUUUGAUUGAGGCAAUAGUCUCUAACUUUACAUCUUCUAGUUUUUUAUGUUGAGAAUAGAAAUAAUUGAACUGGGUAUAUUUUGGUUGCUCAAAUCAUGAUAUUUGAUAUAAUUAACAUGUAGUUGUAGUUGAUGUUGGGACAAUUGAUUGAAGACC